UCUAAGUUGUUGUUUAGAUGAGGUGUAGUUAUCAUGGUCAGGUCAUAUUGACUAAGUUGUUGUUUAGAUGAGGUGUAGUUAUCAUGGUCUCGUCAUAUUGACUAAGUUGUUGUUUAGAUGAGGUGUAGUUAUCAUGGUCAGGUCAUAUUGACUAAGUUGUUGUUUAGAUGAGGUGUAGUUAUCAUGGUCAGGUCAUAUUGACUAAGUUGUUGUUUAGAUGAGGUGUAGUUAUCAUGGUCAGGUCAUAUUGACUAAGUUGUUGUUUAGAUGAGGUGUAGUUAUCAUGGUCAGGUCAUAUUGACUAAGUUGUUGUUUAGAUGAGGUGUAGUUAUCAUGGUCUCGUCAUAUUGACUAAGUUGUUGUUUAGAUGAGGUGUAGUUAUCAUGGUCAGGUCAUAUUGACUAAGUUGUUGUUUAGAUGAGGUGUAGUUAUCAUGGUCUCGUCAUAUUGACUAAGUUGUUGUUUAGAUGAGGUGUAGUUAUCAUGGUCAGGUCAUAUUGACUAAGUUGUUGUUUAGAUGAGGUGUAGUUAUCAUGGUCUCGUCAUAUUGACUAAGUUGUUGUUUAGAUGAGGUGUAGUUAUCAUGGUCAGGUCAUAUUGACUAAGUUGUUGUUUAGAUGAGGUGUAGUUAUCAUGGUCAGGUCAUAUUGACUAAGUUGUUGUUUAGAUGAGGUGUAGUUAUCAUGGUCAGGUCAUAUUGACUAAGUUGUUGUUUAGAUGAGGUGUAGUUAUCAUGGUCUCGUCAUAUUGACUAAGUUGUUGUUUAGAUGAGGUGUAGUUAUCAUGGUCAGGUCAUAUUGACUAAGUUGUUGUUUAGAUGAGGUGUAGUUAUCAUGGUCUCGUCAUAUUGACUAAGUUGUUGUUUAGAUGAGGUGUAGUUAUCAUGGUCUAGUCAUAUUGACUAAGUUGUUGUUUAGAUGAGGUGUAGUUAUCAUGGUCUAGUCAUAUUGACUAAGUUGUUGUUUAGAUGAGGUGUAGUUAUCAUGGUCUAGUCAUAUUGACUAAGUUGUUGUUUAGAUGAGGUGUAGUUAUCAUGGUCUAGUCAUAUUGACUAAGUUGUUGUUUAGAUGAGGUGUAGUUAUCAUGGUCAGGUCAUAUUGACUAAGUUGUUGUUUAGAUGAGGUGUAGUUAUCAUGGUCUCGUCAUAUUGACUAAGUUGUUGUUUAGAUGAGGUGUAGUUAUCAUGGUCAGGUCAUAUUGACUAAGUUGUUGUUUAGAUGAGGUGUAGUUAUCAUGGUCAGGUCAUAUUGACUAAGUUGUUGUUUAGAUGAGGUGUAGUUAUCAUGGUCAACUGUUCGACUAGGUUGUUAUGAAGAUGGGGAGGGGUAUUGUCUGUUAUAACAAAAUAUGUUAUGUGUUUCUGACACAAAGAUCAACUGUACUAGUUGUCCAGACUCUGGUCUUGUCCCAUCUUGAUGACUGUCUGGUAAUAUGGUCAGGUGCAGAAAAGAAAGACCUAGCAAAGCCGUCUCAAAACAAAACAGCACGUCUUGCCCUUUAACUACACACAUAUAACUAACAUCAACAACAUGGAUGAUAGUCUUUAUGGUUGAGGGUUGAAGAGAAGUGGACAACGUCUUGUCUUAAGAAAUAUUUGUGUGUUAAAUCCCGAACCACUUGUAUAUUGUGUUUGUUUACAC
Long non-coding RNA from Oncorhynchus keta (chum salmon), 1640 nucleotides. RefSeq lists it as uncharacterized. The record is from RefSeq and is a predicted model, not a curated record. The transcript has 6 exons. Lineage: Eukaryota; Metazoa; Chordata; Actinopteri; Salmoniformes; Salmonidae.